RNAcentral lists this long non-coding RNA (1486 nucleotides) under Lynx canadensis (Canada lynx). Its description in RNAcentral is "lncRNA (ENSLCNG00005002978.1)". The stretch from base 1342 to 1458 matches the Rfam family "U4 spliceosomal RNA". Lineage: Eukaryota; Metazoa; Chordata; Mammalia; Carnivora; Felidae. The record is from RNAcentral.
AUCUUAUGUAAAUCUGUGUGGCAGUAAAGAAUCCCUAGCAUUUGAAGUGGAAACUCUUCCUUCCACCAGAUGGCAGAGUAGUAUUAAAAAGCAAGCAAAGAAUCAACUACUGUAGACAAACUGGUGGUGAAUUUGCAAGAAUUAUCAAACACAUCAAACAGAUUCCUUUUGGCUUUAGAUUUGACUAAUGAAGCAAAAGAAGCAUAUCUCUUGAGAGAGAAAAGAAAAAGAUUUAAAAUCCAUUAGAAUCUAAGCUUCACCAAGUAGAAGGUGGGCUCGUUGAGAGCAUAUAUAUAUAUAUGCUGGCAAUAAAUACUGGAUGGAUGGAUGGAAGGGUAAGUAAAUUAGGAAAAAAGCUAAAACAAAAUUGUUUUAUUCACACUUCACUUGUUUUCCUUUUUUUUUUUUUUUUUUUUUUUUUUUUUUUUUUUUUUUGUAGAUUCCGAUUCCUCUUCCUUUUCCUUAUUAUCCAAAUCAGGUCCUAACACUUAAUGAUCUUAUAACGUUAAUCACUUCUAUUCUGAACGAACUUGAGGUAAGUUCAUAUUAAUUUUAAUGUUUAUUUAUUAUUGAGAGACACAGAGAGACAAAGCAUGAGCACUGGAGGGGCAGAGAGAGGGGAGACACAGAAUCUGAAGCAGGUUCCAGGCUCUGAGCUGUCAGCACAGAGCCGGAUGCGGGGCUCAGACUCACAAACCACGAGAUCAUGAUCUGAGCAGAAGUGAUGCUUAACCAACUGAGCCACCCAGGCGCCCCUCAUAUUAAUUUUUAAGUUAUUAUAAAGUAUAAACCUAUUUAAUGGACUGAGGGUAAUGUCUUUUUUUUUUUUUAUCUUUUAGGGCUUCUUUGGGGUAAGACUUUAUUUCUAUGAUUAUAUUGAUAAAAACAAGUGACAUUUAAUAUCAGGAAAGGUAAGAAUAACUCUCCUCAACUAUAAAAAUAUAUGGCAGAAUCAAACCCAACUGACUUACCCAAAUUAGAGCUCCUGAGUUAUAAACUCUAAACAAUUUAGAUCAGAAUUUCUGCAGGUCUAAAAAGGUAUUUUCAUAAUGCCAUGGUAUUUGACAAAAUUUCAGCCUACGAAGUAUAUGCAAUGUUAAGAAAUUUCAAACAGUAAAUUUUUCCUCAAGCUUGUUUUUGUUUUAUGGACAAUUCAUAGUAAGCAGUGAGAAAAGUCUGCUGUGAAACUACCAAAUCUAGAAAUGGCCUCAUUUCAAGGCAAAGGCAAAACAUCUCCUUAACACCAAAGCAUCAGCUUGCUGGAUGGAGAGGCUACAAAUCUUGAGACUUCUUUGAUUCUCAUCCAAGUUUGUUCUCACUUUAAAAUAUAUACAAAAGAUAAGCUUUGUGCAGUGGGUAUAUCAUAGCCAAUGAAGUUUAUCCAAGGCACGAUUAUUGCUAAUUGAAAAUACAUACAAAAGAUAUAUUCCUUUUUUAAAUAUCUGAAUUAAUGUCAAUCAAAAUUAUUGUAUAUAAAUUAAUGUUA